CUGGCUCAGGACGAACGCUGGCGGCGUGCCUAACACAUGCAAGUCGAGCGGAGAAAUAUCCGACACUGAGAUUUUAUAAAGAGUGAGUAAGCAGCACAAGACCGAUGCGUAUUCAACGCGAAAAAAGCUUGCUGACACAAUGUGAGAUUUGAGUGUUGGAUGUUUCUUAGCGGCGGACGGGUGAGUAACGCGUGAGUAACCUGCCUUAUACAGAGGGAUAGCCUUGAGAAAUCGGGAUUAAUACCUCAUGACAUAUUUUGAUCGCAUGAUCAAGAUAUCAAAACUCCGGUGGUAUAAGAUGGACUCGCGUCCCAUUAGCUAGUUGGUGAAGUAACGGUUCACCAAGGCGACGAUGGGUAGCCGGCCUGAGAGGGUGGACGGCCACACUGGAACUGAGACACGGUCCAGACUCCUACGGGAGGCAGCAGUGGGGAAUAUUGCACAAU
This 446-nucleotide ribosomal RNA is filed under the name Dethiosulfatibacter aminovorans DSM 17477. RNAcentral's name for it is "bacterial SSU rRNA". It matches the Rfam family "Bacterial small subunit ribosomal RNA", at positions 19 to 372 of the family's 1533-position model. The record is from RNAcentral. Lineage: Bacteria; Bacillati; Bacillota; Tissierellia.